GGGAAGAUACAUCAUAAUUAUAAAAUAAAUAUGAUUUGACAAAAGACAACCCUUCAUACUUAUUUUCUCAAUGACCCUCUCAUUAUUUGUUUUUUACUUGUUUUAAAAGUGUCUUCCGUUACAGCAAAAAUGAACUAAAAUAUUUACAAAUAUGACAAAUUAUCAGUCUACUUAUGAUAGAUCGUGAUAUACUACUUUUGUGUCAAUCAUGGCACAGAUAAACACUUAUAGUAGUCUAUUGUAGUCCAUAACUUGUGAUAUUUUGAUAUAUUUGUAAAUAUUUUUCAACAGAUUUAUCAUUUUGAAAUAAUUCUAUUUUUUAGAAGGUUGUAAUUAACAUGUGAGAAAUUUUCUACCCUACCCCUACUUCUUCCUUGCCUACCCUAAAUUAUAUUUAUUAAUUAUUAUUUCUUUUUGGAAAAUGUUAUAAAUGUGAGAAAUUUUCUUUAUGUUUGAACGAUUAAUGCGUUGAGAAGGUGUUACUUCUCGACUAAACGCCUAGACUGAAUGCAUGAUAGCUCGCCUUAUACGAUAGUAUCUUAGCCUGAAUAGAAUGUCUUCUCUUGUCAACUCGCCUAUUGGUCAAAGUCGCCUAAGAUUCGGCUCACAGGAACUUGUCACGUACUAGUCAGUUCGCCUAAUGGUCAACUCGCAUGGUCAAAACGCUUACUGUAAAUAGAAACUAGUUAAGAAAGAAAGAAAAAUUGAGUCGUGGAUCUCACUUGUGCAAACGAAUUUUUAUCGCAUCAACGUCUCCAAAAUAAAAAAAUAAAAGAAACAUUGUUCUUCAAUCAAAAUUACACAGAGACUGUUUGGAAUACCAACACUCAAAUAGACAUUUUUUAUUGCACAGAAAACUCACAAAGAAAUAGUUUGAAAGGAUGUUUUUCUUGUUUUUCUCAUGUCUCAAAAUGAAAGCAAUUAGGAGUUUAUAUAUAGUGGAGGAAUAAGAAUGUUGGUACGUUAUUAUGAGAAUCAAAACGUUCGUUAAUUAAAUAAGAAAAUUUAAUUAUAAAAAUAAAUAAGGAAAGAAAAAGUUGAGCAAUAAAUAUAAAACAAAAUUUAAAUGUUUUCUCUUGUAUUACGCAAGAUAGUCGUCAUGGAGAUUAUGUAUUAAAGAGUCAACGAUAAUAUCAUUAUUACAUCUCAUCUCGCCUAGGAUGACAACAUGUGCAUGGAGGUCUUAGCAAAACUUCUAGUCAUCUCGCCUUGGAUGAUAGUUUGCAUGUGGAGAUUUAAUAUAUUUUAUAAAAUACGAAAUCUACAUCAUAAAAAAAUAAAAGUUGACAUUUAAUUUUGAUAAAUUUUCUUGUUAAGGACUAAAUUUUCACAAAUUUAAAGUAUAGAAUUAUAUUGUUACAUAUAAAAAUUUACCAACUAAAUUGGUAUAGAAUUAAAAGUUGAUUAGCUAAAUGUAACAAAUGAAAGUAUUUCUAAUUUAAUUAUCUUUUAAUUUUAUUUUAUGAUCGAGUUGUUAUAAAUGGGUAUGGUUCCAUUGGAGUGCGUGAAAGUUAAAAGGAAAAGGAAAAAGGAAAGAAAGAGAGUUCUUCCCCACGUGAACAUUAAUGUCACCUCUUCUCUAGCGCGUCUCACGAGCCACGCUGCUGUCGCUCAUACCCGUCCGUCGCUUCUUCCAAAUCUUAGUUUGGUGAGUUUGGGUGGGUGUUUUAUUUGGGUCUUUUUAAAUAGGUUUUCAAGUGCUCAUUCAAAUUUAAUUAAUGCUCUAAUUAAGGUUUAUUUUUAAAUUAAUUUAGAGUUUUUCUUGGAAGAAUCAAUAGGAGAUCUUUUGAUUAAAUUCUUAGUUUUCUCCCAAAAUUAGAAUUGACUUCAACUCUCAUCUUGGGUAACUUAAUGGGAGAUUGAUUUGGGCAGUAAAAUUAUUAAUUAUUUUCCUUAUCAUUAGGUUAAUUGGGUGGUUUAAUUUCCAUCCACCAAUUUUACAAACGAGUUUAAUAUUUCUACUAUCCCACCUUUGAUUUAAUAUUAAAAUUGUUUAGGUACUAUAUGGAUUGACUAUCGAUUAUGCCAUAAUUAAAAUAAAUUGAUAGGCUUAGGUGAGAGUAUGACUGAAAUUGUGUAAUUAUAUAUGGAGAUAAUAAGACAAGCUAGUAAGCUACGAGAAAGACCCGUGACCUACCAUAUCUAGACUUUAUAAUCCUGCUUCUGUUUGAUGUGUUUUUAUUUUUUUUCCACGUUUUCAAGAUUUAUGAGUAUUAUUUCAUGCCAUGAUUGGUAAAUUUUUUUUUUUGUCAUUUUUUUUUAAAAAGCUUUGAACACUUUAUAUUUAUCUUUAAAAUUAGAUAAGAUCCAUAUUAGGUUUAUUUUCUUAGUUUUUUCUUCUUUUUUUUUUUCUAUUUGGUUUGUAAAAAUUUUGUUUUUAGAUGGUUUGUUUUAUGUUUUAUUUAAUAAAAUAAGUAGUAUUUGUUUUGUUUUAAAAUUUUAAAAAUAUUGAGCUCAUGUUAAAUCUAAAUAGUUAGGUCAAAUUAUAGUUACCAAAAGUGCUUUUUAACAUUUUUUUUUAUAAAGAACUACAUAUUUAAAAGCUGGAAAAUUACCAAUCCAUUUGGUGUCUAGGUUCUAUUUAGUCCAUAUAGAUUUCUAUAGACUCUUUUAACUCAUAUAGCC
RNAcentral lists this long non-coding RNA (2625 nucleotides) under Cucumis sativus (cucumber). RNAcentral describes it as "long non-coding RNA (CSAT_LNC002003)". The record is from RNAcentral. Lineage: Eukaryota; Viridiplantae; Streptophyta; Magnoliopsida; Cucurbitales; Cucurbitaceae.